This 497-nucleotide ribosomal RNA is filed under the name uncultured bacterium. RNAcentral describes it as "partial 16S ribosomal RNA". It matches the Rfam family "Bacterial small subunit ribosomal RNA", at positions 28 to 507 of the family's 1533-position model. The record is from RNAcentral.
GAUGAACGCUGGCGGCGUGCCUAAUACAUGCAAGUCGAGCGAACGGACGAGAAGCUUGCUUCUCUGAUGUUAGCGGCGGACGGGUGAGUAACACGUGGAUAACCUACCUAUAAGACUGGGAUAACUUCGGGAAACCGGAGCUAAUACCGGAUAAUAUUUUGAACCGCAUGGUUCAAAAGUGAAAGACGGUCUUGCUGUCACUUAUAGAUGGAUCCGCGCUGCAUUAGCUAGUUGGUAAGGUAACGGCUUACCAAGGCAACGAUGCAUAGCCGACCUGAGAGGGUGAUCGGCCACACUGGAACUGAGACACGGUCCAGACGCCUGCGGGAGGCAGCAGUAGGGAAUCUUCCGCAAUGGGCGAAAGCCUGACGGAGCAACGCCGCGUGAGUGAUGAAGGUCUUCGGAUCGUAAAACUCUGUUAUUAGGGAAGAACAUAUGUGUAAGUAACUGUGCACAUCUUGACGGUACCUAAUCAGAAAGCCACGGCUAACUACGUG